This is a long non-coding RNA of Amphiprion ocellaris (clown anemonefish), 2026 nucleotides long. The record is from Ensembl. NCBI's taxonomy places the organism in Eukaryota, Metazoa, Chordata, Actinopteri, Pomacentridae.
AGGAAACAAGUCUUUUAAUUACAAAAUAGCGUUACUUUUAAACUGACAACUGAAUAAGGAAAGUAUGGUUUUACCUUGCUGACAUGUUCCGACUGCAUCUGCAGAAUUCAGAGUCAUCGAUGUGCGAUGACGUGUAGUAAGAAACGACAAAUGAACAGAAUCCAACUUUCAAUUAUUGCAUUUAUUCAUGUUACACCAGAUAUUUCAAGAUUACAGUUAUAUUUAUUGAUAAAAAAACAACUAGCUUUAUUUAUAUUAAAAAAAACAUUUUGUUAAUGGAAAAAACAUUUAAAAGUGUAAAUUUCUGAAAAUGAAGCUAUGGCAGUGUUUCAUUAACAUUUUUCUCAUGAGGGUUUUUUUCUGCAACACCUGACUGUUACAGACUUUAAGUUUACGACAUCUAAAAGGUCCCUGAAGAAAUUUCGUGUGUGCCGACAGAACAAAGACAGUCAACAUUUAUAAGAUCUGAAGUCACUGGAUGGCACCUGAACAGUACGGUUCAGCCACAGGACAUGGUGGAGGCCGGCUAGGUGGUGGUGCUAGAGGCGCCCGAGGAUGUCAUGGAGGUCAGCUGGGUUGUGGUGGUGGUAGGGGCGCUCGAGGAUGUCGUGGAGGUCGGCUGGGUCGUGGUGGUGGUAGGGGCACUCGAGGAAGUCGUGGAGGUCGGCUGGGUCGUGGUGGUGGUGGUAGGGGCGCUCGAGGACGUCGUGGAGGUCGGCUGGGUCGUGGUAGGGGCGCUCGAGGACGUCGUGGAGGUCGGCUGGGUCGUGGUAGGGGCGCUCGAGGACAUCGUGGAGGUCGGCUGGGUCGUGGUGGUGGUAGGGGGGCUUGAGGACGUUGGCUGGGUCGUGGUAGGGGCCCUCGAGGACGUCGGCUGGGUCGUGGUGGUGGUAGGGGCGCUUGAGGACGUCAUGGAGGUCGGCUGGGUCGUGGCAGGGGGACUCGAGGACGUCGUGGAAGUCGGCUGGGUUGUGGUGGUGGCAGGGGGGCUCGAGAACAUCGUGGAGGUCGACUGGGUUGUGAUGGUGGCAGGGGGGCUCGAGGACGUCGUGGAGGUCGGCUGGGUUAUGGUAGGGGGGCUCGAGGACGUCGCGGAGGUCGGCUGGGUCGUGGUGGUGGUAGGGAGGCUCGAGGACGUCGUCUGGGUGGUGGCCGUCGUGCUUGGUGGCUCGGUGGGGCAGGUGACUGUUGUGGUGUCCUUAUGGGGAUCGCAGUCACUCAUGGGGUGGGGUUCAAGUUCCAUAUGAGGCCCUUCAGGAAUAUUGUUUAAUCCCCACAAAUCAAAGAUCUUUGAAUCAUCAUCUAUCCCCGGGAUGAUUACAGGAACAAGCAUGACAGUUGUUGUUGUUUCCUCGUCCUCACAUGGAGGUUCCACGGUUCCCAUCAUUUCAGCCUCCUCAGUCCCCUGUGUGGGUUCUACACUGAAUGAAUCAUGAGGAUUCACCCCCCAGUCCCACUGGUCCUGGUGUUGCAGAGCUCUGCGCCGACGAUCCCGCGCAUCUCCUCUGGCUGCACUGAAACAAGCCGCCAGCAUCGUGGACAUCUCCCCAGCCGAGUCCAAAUAGAUCACUUCAAACAUGGAGUCCUGCACAACAUUCAGCCAUUAGUUCUCCACCCAACUAUGACAAACUGGAUGGUGGAUCACUCCAUCCUUACCUUGUCUGCCGGUGUGGAGAUCUGCACCAACACUGGCCCUGGAGUAGUGGUGGUCUGCACCCUCCCAACCACCACAUCUUUCCCCAGAGCCUUCACCUUCUGCAGUCUGCUUCCCUGAGGCAGUUUCACAGCCACUUCUGUGCUCCUGCAGCUCACCGCCGGCAGGGUCCACGUUGCAGGAUCCUCACAGGCGACCACAGCCGUCAUGUUCUCCCGCAGCAGGUGGUCGAAGUAACGCAGCUUCAACUGGUGGAACCACGUUCCAUUUGAAACCUGUGGAACAGACCAAGUCGUCACCAGGCAACAGUUUGUCAUUAGCUGGAGAACAUCCAGGAGUUCCACCGUUUCUGGUGCCUUUGGUCUCCAGUCU